GGGAGCCGAUUAUGAAAACAACUGAUGCAAUCACUAAACCGAGAAGUCAAGAAACACGUUCGCUCGGUGCUGUGUGCUGUGCACGUUGAAGGUACCGAUUCUCCCAGCAGCCCCAAGAGACAGGCAUUAGCAUCCCUGUUCUGCAAGCAGGGAAACUGAGGCCCAGAGACAGAGGAGCUCAGAACAGUGACAGCUGAGGCUGGGCCAAUGCCGAAAGCAAGAGCCAGAGUUGAAGUCAAGUUCUCUGGUCCUUCCUGCAAACAAGCAGGGUAAGAAGAACUGGAUCCCAACCCUGCUUCGCUUCCUAGCUAAUGACCUGAAUAGCCUGCUCGAGAUCGUUGUUGUUCUGCAGCAUCCCGGAGGAGAGCGGCCGCCGAGUCAGCACGUCUUCAGAUGAGAGGUGCGUGGGAGGACCCGCCCCGGGCUGGGAGGGCGAGGUGCUGCGGCGCUCAGCUUCCGUGGCCGUCCGCGACCCCACCAGGUCAAGCCUUGCCAGUGCGCAGUGCCUGGAUGUUCUCCCUGGAACACGGUGAUGUCAGGAAGAUCGCAAGGUAAUUUGACUCACGGGCAGAGCAACAUGGACACGAACAUUCGUAGUGGCGCUGUUCAGAAAAGGCGAGAAGUGGAAGCAAUGCAACUGGAAGCGCCGGGCCGUGGUUCUCCUGUGCACCACCGUAUUCAGUAGUGAGCGGAGCGAGCUGCUGAGGCACACCCCAAACACGCUGCAUGAGAGCAGCCACGUGGAAAACAAAGCCCACGUUCCGCGUGAUUCCAUUGGUGUGAAACACUCAGGAAAACCGGUCUGUGGCGACGGGGAAUGGAGGUGGGGAUGGGCUGGGAGGCGUCUGCCGGGGAGACGGAACCGUCCCAAAAUUGGAUUGUCGUGGCAAUUGCGCAGCUCUGCAAAUUUACUUUAAAAAAAAAAAAAAAUACUGCCUUGUACAUUUAAACUGAGUGAAUUGGGUGAUGUGUACAUUAUAAGGGUGCUCCAAAAAGCUCGUGGAAAAACAGGAUGAGAAGAUUCGUGCAUUUUGGUGUAAACAAUGUUGGAAUUCAUGCUCGUGACCGC
This is a non-coding RNA of Oryctolagus cuniculus (rabbit), 1069 nucleotides long. NCBI's taxonomy places the organism in Eukaryota, Metazoa, Chordata, Mammalia, Lagomorpha, Leporidae. The record is from RefSeq and is a predicted model, not a curated record.